UACGGAGGGGGCGAGCGUUGUCCGGAAUUAUUGGGCGUAAAGCGCGCGUAGGCGGCUGCUCAAGUCUGUUGUGAAAGCCCACGGCUCAACCGUGAAAGGGCGGUGGAAACUGUUCGGCUAGAGACCGGUAGAGGUGGGUGGAAUUCCCGGUGUAGCGGUGAAAUGCGUAGAUAUCGGGAAGAACACCCGUGGCGAAAGCGGCUCUCUGGGCCGGUACUGACGCUGAGGCGCGAAAGCUAGGGGAGCGAACGGG
Molecule: ribosomal RNA, 253 nt
Filed under: uncultured bacterium
Lineage: Bacteria
Description: partial 16S ribosomal RNA
Rfam family: Bacterial small subunit ribosomal RNA
Source: RNAcentral